ACACUUUGAUGUACAAAAGUGACACCAUGAUCAGGAAGGUGGUUCUCCCAGGGCAAGGCUCAGCCAUUGCACUCCGGCUGUGUUGACCCCUGCGAUUUCCCCAAAUGUGGGAAACUCAACUGCAUAAUUUAUGGUAGUGGGGAACUGCGUUUGCACUUUCCCCUG
This is a small nuclear RNA of Rana temporaria (common frog), 165 nucleotides long. RefSeq annotates it as U1 spliceosomal RNA. Lineage: Eukaryota; Metazoa; Chordata; Amphibia; Anura; Ranidae. The record is from RefSeq and is a predicted model, not a curated record. The transcript has a single exon.